Mustela erminea (ermine) is the source of this 615-nucleotide long non-coding RNA. RefSeq lists it as uncharacterized. The transcript is spliced from 2 exons. NCBI's taxonomy places the organism in Eukaryota, Metazoa, Chordata, Mammalia, Carnivora, Mustelidae. The record is from RefSeq and is a predicted model, not a curated record.
AACACAAAUGACAUCAGCACAAGAGCAGAUGCUGGCCAAGAUCACCCACAGGGAGGGGACAUAAAACUCAAGAAAUCUCGGGUGACUGACAGAACCUCGGCCCUGGCAACACCGGCCAUGAAGGACGCGCGCACACAAGGAGGAUCAACCCCUUUUCAGCUUCAAACCGGGUGUCCCUUCCUGCCCAUCCAGUUCAAAAAGGAGGAGACAGGGAAGGAACGGGGCAACCCUGUUAUGGUUUUGUGAUUCUUUUAUGAUUUUAACAGAGGGGAUGCCUUGUUUAGGAAUCCGGUAACAGUUCAGAAACAACGUGGAAAACUGAGAGUCGGGAAUCGAUGGAUGCCUACACCGGCUUGUCGCUGUGCAUCUGGAAAUCAGGAAGAUGGGAUUCCAAGAGCCAGGCCCGCUUCCUGACCGGGAGCCCAGACAGAGAUGAACUUCCUCAAUCAAGCGAUUCCCAUAGAGUUUCCAUUCUGUGCGCAGUGGAAGGUGCUGCAAGAGAAAAAUGACACUUGUUCCUUUUUGCUCCUUUCCCCUCACCAAAUGGACCAUUUCUUAAUAGCAACUGACGGAAUAUUCCGGUAGCAUAACAAGAACGGGUAAGACACAUUUGCU